UAUGUUCCAUUUUUAUGAUGUCCCUUAAGGUGGCUGCAUGAGUCAAGAGAAGUGCAAGACACAACUGUGUUCCCCUUUCAAUGCCCCUGAAACCAGCUUCUCUUUCUAUGACUCUCCACAGAUCUGGGUUAUCCUAAAAUCCACAGUAUCUGUAGGCUUACGGGGGUUUAUAAGGGUACAUAUGACUAAGGUUUUAAACAGUUACAUUUUGGAUUUACUAGAGAGUCCCAGAUUGCUAUCAUGGUGUAUCUGUAUCAGCAUGACAGACAUUAACAACAAAUCUAGCACCAACAGUAAGUGUCUAGAAUCUACAGGUUGCAGAUCCUCAAUUUGAAAAAAGACGAUAAGCGCUGAAAAACAAGCAGAAACAUGUUUGGUGGGAGGAAACUCAGGAGUUUCAACAUUACAUUGUGUAAAGGUACUUUUCGUUUUACUUUUCCAGAUGAAAUAAAAGCACAAGAAGGAAAGAAGCAAGUUUAGAACUGCAACCUUCAUCAUGGAGAGCAGCAUGUUAACCUUUGUGCUUCUGUGUGUGGUGUGGUUACAGGUUGAAGCCAUUAAUGUAGACAUUCCUCAAUCAAUGUAUGAGUUUGCCAGAGAUACCAACAUCACAAUACCCUGUACAUUUACAACAACAGUCCAACCCCCAAAAUCAGGUGUCAUCACCUGGUCCAGGAGGCCCACGGAUUCCACGGAUCCCAAUGUUCCGUUUG
Molecule: long non-coding RNA, 713 nt
Organism: Oryzias melastigma (Indian medaka)
Lineage: Eukaryota; Metazoa; Chordata; Actinopteri; Beloniformes; Adrianichthyidae
Exons: 2
Source: RefSeq, a predicted model, not a curated record